Molecule: long non-coding RNA, 2818 nt
Organism: Rhododendron vialii
Lineage: Eukaryota; Viridiplantae; Streptophyta; Magnoliopsida; Ericales; Ericaceae
Exons: 3
Source: RefSeq, a predicted model, not a curated record
GAGAAUGAGAGACAGACGCAAAUUGAGACUAGGGUUUGUGAGUCCACUCGCGCAAAUUGAGACUAGGGUUUGAUAAUAACCACACACGCAUGGGCCCGGAGUGGGAGCGAGCGAGUUUGUGAGUCGAUUGAAUACUACAAUGCAAGGCUUCAUGGACUCCUCUUCAACGUGUCAAUAUACCUGCCCUUCUUCCUAGCAUCAUUACCAGAAAUAUGGUCAAGAAAACUUUUCAAGCUGCCUUCAUUGUAGGCCAAGGGGUGUUCAUCAUCUAUCAGCUCAGGUGCCGGUCCAACUUUCUUCUCCAAAGCUAGGCUAUGAAGGCUGGCGAUUGAAAUCCGUGUCCUCUCCUUGUUCAAAGUUGCUCUGUGCAGAACACUCUUGUACCUUCCAUUGCUCAUCACUUCCAUUUGAUCUCCCACCUGGACUACUAGUGCCCCUUCAAUGAGCGGAACUGGGUGCCAAUUGUUAUUCUUGUCCAUGAUUUGGAGUCCUGGUUGGCUUUGGAUUAAAAUCGUGAGGGACCCAUAAUCUGAGUGAGGUGGAAUUCCUAGGGCUAGGUCUGGUUCAGGACAAGCCGGGUAGCAGUUGACAGCCAUAACUUGCGAGCCUUUUUCGAAGUCUUCAUGUAGGUAAUCUGCGUUUAGCCCUAAGCUCUGAAGAACUGCUUCCAUUAGUUGCUUUUGUAAUGCUCUCACGGCCUUUGCAUAGUUUCCCAUUUUCUCCCUGUUGGAGAAAAGCACAGUUAGUGUAGAAAAAUGAUUCAUUCAACUAAAUUUUACAGGUUGUUGAAGAUGUGCUGUAAUGAUAUGUUUUCUAAUUUGGUAGGGCAAUACCACGCGAGUGUAGGGCUGUCCAUCCACCCGACCCGAAAAUAGACACAACGGACGGAUUUGAUCAGUCAUUUGGGUCGGAUUCGGGUUGUUUUUGUCGGAUUUUUGAUUUAGUCGGUUGGGUGUCGGGUGACACCAUAUAAUUUUUCGGGUGACCCGACCGACCGAAAUCAGAUGUAUAAAACGAAAAAAAAUCCCCAAUUUUACUCCAUUCAAUCCGCAUCUCGCCGUCUUCUGUUCUCUCUUUCAACCCCUCUCCUCCACCUCGACUCUUCUUCGUCUCGCACGCCACCAGGACCACACCCUUGCACCUCCAUUGCUUCUCUCUCUCUCUCUCUCUAUGAAAUGGAGUCCCCUUACAAGAUGACGAUGACAAGACCAAACGCCAGCUUCCCCACCACUCCUCCGCCAACAACAGCGGCAGCUCCACCUCGUCCUCGUCGCAAUCAUUCCCAGCCGCCUGGGCCUACCUUGCCCGAUUCCUCCUCCGCCAGCCGUCGCCUCCUUCACCACCUCUGGGCCACUGUAAUUUUGGAAAAAAAUUUGAUUUUUAGGAAAAAGGUGUGUAGAUCUGUGAUUUUGAAUGGUGAUUUUGAAAUAUUAUGUUGUUAAUCGUGAUUGGGAGCUGAUUUGUGUGAAUGUGAUUAUGAGUUUCGAUCUCUCUCUCUCUCUCCUAACAUUUCUGUAGCUUCUUCUUUUUUCUUUUUUAAAAUCUGAUGACCCGAUCGAACCCGAUAUCUCCAACCUGACCACGUUUCGGUCGGAGCCUGACCAGUGUUUCGGUCAGUCUCGGGUGGUCAUUUCGGCAAUCCGACCAAGGUCGGGUCGGGUCCAACCCGACCCCGACCCGUGGACAGCCCUAUGCAAGUGUGAUUUUUUUGUUUCUUUGGACAGUAUCUGUUUAUCUACCACUAACUUUAGAUAUUGGUCAUUGCCAUGUCUUCUUCAUAAUUUCAAAGAAAAUCACAUGCAUUAGUUAGUAACAUGAUAAUAUAUAGUGUAUUGAUUGCCUGGUGAUUUGUAGGAGACUAAAUUUCCCCCCUUAGAAUCUUUAAUUUGCUUCUAAAACUAGUUCGCAUAAUGGAAAACAUCAAGCUUUCUUCAAGAAAAACCUACUUGUAGCUUGGGGGGUUUGAAGGCCACAGAUGGAUCCAGGUGGAGAUGGGAUAAGAGUAAUGCUUGAUGAAGUCUCUCCAAAACUGGACUUCGUCUUCAACAUGAUUCAGACUUGUGCCGUACCUUACUGGCUUAUGAACAUCAGCAGAUGCGAGAUGCAUUUUCUCCUCACUAGGCAAGUUAAAGAACUCUGUUGCAGUGUCUAUGGCAUCAUUAACAUACGUUGAGGGAAUCCCAUGGUUAAUCACCUGUUAACAUAUGCAAGUUUUUAUGUAAACUUAGACGAUAACAUUGCAUUAAUGCAUGCUUGCAAGUAGAUUACACAUAAUAUCAUAUUCGUUAACUUGAUACAUUUUUUUUUUUCAGAUCUUAAUCAUCACACACAUAAUGUACUUAGGGUCGUAGAAGGAAAAGCAGUACGUGUUGAAGACAAAUAGUUCCCAUCCUUGAACAGCUUAAGCUUUUUCGGAGUACAAUACAAGAACGGCACAGGCAUCAUGGUAACUCUGUAAAGGAUACCUGGAAGAAACUGAGUUCCUUGCAGGCCACAUGGAUUUCCUCGAUGACCCGAGGCCUAAGUGAAGGGUUGUGGAGGGAGGAAAUGUCUAUAACGGGUAAGGGGGUGGUGGUGGUGGAGGGGUUCAAGCGGAGGCUGCGGCCUGGUCGUUCGGAGGGAGGCAGAACAAAACGGCGAGGGACUUGGGCCACUCCUAUUUGGUUUAGUGUAAUUGCACUAGUAAAUGAAUUUGUUUCUGAGCUCUUUCCCUCGUCUCCCAUUCUCUCUCUUUCUUCCACUUGUGAAUCUUACUUGGAGGCCUAGCCACUGGCCUUCCCCUAUUUAUAGCAAGAAGCAUGAGAUAUUUCGAAUGGAA